This 882-nucleotide ribosomal RNA is filed under the name Enterococcus faecium. Its description in RNAcentral is "bacterial SSU rRNA". It matches the Rfam family "Bacterial small subunit ribosomal RNA", at positions 20 to 872 of the family's 1533-position model. Lineage: Bacteria; Bacillati; Bacillota; Bacilli; Lactobacillales; Enterococcaceae. The record is from RNAcentral.
CUGCUCAGGACGAACGCUGGCGGCGUGCCUAAUACAUGCAAGUCGAACGCUUCUUUUUCCACCGGAGCUUGCUCCACCGGAAAAAGAGGAGUGGCGAACGGGUGAGUAACACGUGGGUAACCUGCCCAUCAGAAGGGGAUAACACUUGGAAACAGGUGCUAAUACCGUAUAACAAUCGAAACCGCAUGGUUUUGAUUUGAAAGGCGCUUUCGGGUGUCGCUGAUGGAUGGACCCGCGGUGCAUUAGCUAGUUGGUGAGGUAACGGCUCACCAAGGCCACGAUGCAUAGCCGACCUGAGAGGGUGAUCGGCCACAUUGGGACUGAGACACGGCCCAAACUCCUACGGGAGGCAGCAGUAGGGAAUCUUCGGCAAUGGACGAAAGUCUGACCGAGCAACGCCGCGUGAGUGAAGAAGGUUUUCGGAUCGUAAAACUCUGUUGUUAGAGAAGAACAAGGAUGAGAGUAACUGUUCAUCCCUUGACGGUAUCUAACCAGAAAGCCACGGCUAACUACGUGCCAGCAGCCGCGGUAAUACGUAGGUGGCAAGCGUUGUCCGGAUUUAUUGGGCGUAAAGCGAGCGCAGGCGGUUUCUUAAGUCUGAUGUGAAAGCCCCCGGCUCAACCGGGGAGGGUCAUUGGAAACUGGGAGACUUGAGUGCAGAAGAGGAGAGUGGAAUUCCAUGUGUAGCGGUGAAAUGCGUAGAUAUAUGGAGGAACACCAGUGGCGAAGGCGGCUCUCUGGUCUGUAACUGACGCUGAGGCUCGAAAGCGUGGGGAGCAAACAGGAUUAGAUACCCUGGUAGUCCACGCCGUAAACGAUGAGUGCUAAGUGUUGGAGGGUUUCCGCCCUUCAGUGCUGCAGCUAACGCAUUAAGCACUCCGC